GUUUAUAUACUUUCUCUGCUCCCACUCAUCAGCGGACAUUCCAUUCUAAGCCCUUCAAAGGGACAAGGUUUCUAUGAUUCUGUUUUUCUUCUUUGUGGGAAGGAUUCCUCCCCGACAGGAGCUUAGCAGCAGCUAAGAAACGUGACCCCAAGGUCACAUUCAAAUUAGAACUCAGUAAAACCCCAGGGUUUGUUGCUUUCUGGCUCUAAAGGAAACUCAGAAUGACAACGGUGGCUGGAUAUUCUACCGUAGGUCUCCCCUGCUGAUCUCUGCUGCUUUCAAGCCUCAAAGAUGCCAGGUGCCUGGGUUUUCUUGUUUUUCUUUUUGACUUUCAAAACUUUUCUUUAACGGUGAAGGAAAAUGAUACUAUGUUACACUAGUUUAAAGCUUUUAACAUUGUUUUCAAAAAAAUUCUAGAAAACUAUUUAACAGGGGGUAAAU
This 441-nucleotide long non-coding RNA is filed under the name Delphinapterus leucas (beluga whale). Its description in RNAcentral is "lncRNA (ENSDLEG00000013550.1)". Lineage: Eukaryota; Metazoa; Chordata; Mammalia; Artiodactyla; Monodontidae. The record is from RNAcentral.